RNAcentral lists this ribosomal RNA (254 nucleotides) under uncultured bacterium. Its description in RNAcentral is "partial 16S ribosomal RNA". It matches the Rfam family "Bacterial small subunit ribosomal RNA", at positions 524 to 776 of the family's 1533-position model. The record is from RNAcentral.
UACGGGGGGGGGCAAGCGUUGUUCGGAAUUACUGGGCGUAAAGGGCUCGUAGGCGGCCAACUAAGUCAGACGUGAAAUCCCUCGGCUUAACCGGGGAGCUGCAUCUGAUACUGGAUGGCUUGAGUUCGGGAGAGGGAUGCGGAAUUCCAGGUGUAGCGGUGAAAUGCGUAGAUAUCUGGAGGAACACCGGUGGCGAAGGCGGCAUCCUGGACCGGCACUGACGCUGAGGAGCGAAAGCCAGGGGAGCAAACGGG